Non-coding RNA from Meleagris gallopavo (turkey), 891 nucleotides. The record is from RefSeq and is a predicted model, not a curated record. NCBI's taxonomy places the organism in Eukaryota, Metazoa, Chordata, Aves, Galliformes, Phasianidae.
CGGAGGCUCCGGGGAGGCGAGGAGAUUUCUCUCGGGGAUGAAAAGAAUUGUUAUUCUCCGUUUACAAAAAUAUUUCUUGUCUUCUUGCCCUUGGCAGUGGCUAGUAGCUGACGCCUGUCACGGGAUAAACCAGGGAGAUGCCCUGGGCGGGAUCUCUGAAGCAGUCAGGAACUGUGGGAUGGCACCUGCAGCAUCACCCGGCAGAAAGAUACAUUGUUUGGCCUUAAGAGGGGAGGAUGAUGCCAAUGAAAACAGAAGUGGAAGAAUAAAAUACAGCAGUCAGACCAUGACAAGAGCUGCAAGAGCAUCUCUAACACUGCAGAUUACAUAAUUCCUGGAGGAAAAGGAGAGCAGGAAAGAUUGAAAUCAGCUGCUGAGAGUGCAAGGGAGAAUAGAGAGCAGAGCCAUCAGAGAGAAAGCAGAUGGACUCAGCCACCUUAAUCAUUCACCUGCCAGUCCCACAAUUCUUGGUAGGUCUCAAGCUGGGUGGCUGGACAUAACUUCUGAAGCAUCUUUUUCUAAUAUAUAAGUGACCUUGGAAUUCUGCACUGAGUUGGGCUUGCUAGUAUCCAAAUUCCCUGAUGUAAGGUUUGCAUAGCACACAACAUCAAAGUUUUUCAAAUCAAGGAAACAUUGCUAGAGAGUCUCCUAGAGAGUCCAGCUGGGACAUUCCUGCCUAUCUACACUUCACUGACAUUCUCACAUCAUAUUUUCUGCCACACAGCUUCCUAUGAAAACGGGGCUUGCUUGUUUGUUAUUUUAUAUAAUGGCAUCUUAUUUUUUUCUUGGCCUUUCUAUGAUGUCUUUAGAGUAUCAUCUUUGGUUAAAUAUCAGGACUAUUCUGAAAAUACUGCCUCCUGUUAGAUUACGUUGGACCACAGUGUCAGAGAU